This 441-nucleotide ribosomal RNA is filed under the name uncultured bacterium. RNAcentral describes it as "bacterial SSU rRNA". It matches the Rfam family "Bacterial small subunit ribosomal RNA", at positions 94 to 531 of the family's 1533-position model. The record is from RNAcentral.
AGUGGCGGACGGGUGAGUAAUGUCUGGGAAACUGCCUGAUGGAGGGGGAUAACUACUGGAAACGGUAGCUAAUACCGCAUAACGUCGCAAGACCAAAGAGGGGGACCUUCGGGCCUCUUGCCAUCGGAUGUGCCCAGAUGGGAUUAGCUAGUAGGUGGGGUAACGGCUCACCUAGGCGACGAUCCCUAGCUGGUCUGAGAGGAUGACCAGCCACACUGGAACUGAGACACGGUCCAGACUCCUACGGGAGGCAGCAGUGGGGAAUAUUGCACAAUGGGCGCAAGCCUGAUGCAGCCAUGCCGCGUGUAUGAAGAAGGCCUUCGGGUUGUAAAGUACUUUCAGCGGGGAGGAAGGGAGUAAAGUUAAUACCUUUGCUCAUUGACGUUACCCGCAGAAGAAGCACCGGCUAACUCCGUGCCAGCAGCCGCGGUAAUACGGAGG